RNAcentral lists this ribosomal RNA (2900 nucleotides) under Klebsiella pneumoniae. RNAcentral describes it as "bacterial LSU rRNA". It matches the Rfam family "Bacterial large subunit ribosomal RNA". Lineage: Bacteria; Pseudomonadati; Pseudomonadota; Gammaproteobacteria; Enterobacterales; Enterobacteriaceae. The record is from RNAcentral.
UUAAGCGACUAAGCGUACACGGUGGAUGCCCUGGCAGUCAGAGGCGAUGAAGGACGUGCUAAUCUGCGAAAAGCGUCGGUAAGGUGAUAUGAACCGUUAUAGCCGGCGAUGUCCGAAUGGGGAAACCCAGUGCAAUUCGUUGCACUAUCGUUAACUGAAUACAUAGGUUAACGAGGCGAACCGGGGGAACUGAAACAUCUAAGUACCCCGAGGAAAAGAAAUCAACCGAGAUUCCCCCAGUAGCGGCGAGCGAACGGGGAGCAGCCCAGAGUCUGAAUCAGCUUGUGUGUUAGUGGAACGGUCUGGAAAGUCCGACGGUACAGGGUGAUAGUCCCGUACACCAAAAUGCACAGGUUGUGAACUCGAAGAGUAGGGCGGGACACGUGGUAUCCUGUCUGAAUAUGGGGGGACCAUCCUCCAAGGCUAAAUACUCCUGACUGACCGAUAGUGAACCAGUACCGUGAGGGAAAGGCGAAAAGAACCCCGGCGAGGGGAGUGAAAAAGAACCUGAAACCGUGUACGUACAAGCAGUGGGAGCACCUUCGGGUGUGACUGCGUACCUUUUGUAUAAUGGGUCAGCGACUUAUAUUCUGUAGCAAGGUUAACCGUAUAGGGGAGCCGCAGGGAAACCGAGUCUUAACUGGGCGUUAAGUUGCAGGGUAUAGACCCGAAACCCGGUGAUCUAGCCAUGGGCAGGUUGAAGGUUGGGUAACACUAACUGGAGGACCGAACCGACUAAUGUUGAAAAAUUAGCGGAUGACUUGUGGCUGGGGGUGAAAGGCCAAUCAAACCGGGAGAUAGCUGGUUCUCCCCGAAAGCUAUUUAGGUAGCGCCUCGUGAACUCAUCUUCGGGGGUAGAGCACUGUUUCGGCUAGGGGGUCAUCCCGACUUACCAACCCGAUGCAAACUACGAAUACCGAAGAAUGUUAUCACGGGAGACACACGGCGGGUGCUAACGUCCGUCGUGAAGAGGGAAACAACCCAGACCGCCAGCUAAGGUCCCAAAGUCAUGGUUAAGUGGGAAACGAUGUGGGAAGGCACAGACAGCCAGGAUGUUGGCUUAGAAGCAGCCAUCAUUUAAAGAAAGCGUAAUAGCUCACUGGUCGAGUCGGCCUGCGCGGAAGAUGUAACGGGGCUAAACCAUGCACCGAAGCUGCGGCAGCGACACUAUGUGUUGUUGGGUAGGGGAGCGUUCUGUAAGCCUGCGAAGGUGUGCUGUGAGGCAUGCUGGAGGUAUCAGAAGUGCGAAUGCUGACAUAAGUAACGAUAAAGCGGGUGAAAAGCCCGCUCGCCGGAAGACCAAGGGUUCCUGUCCAACGUUAAUCGGGGCAGGGUGAGUCGACCCCUAAGGCGAGGCCGAAAGGCGUAGUCGAUGGGAAACAGGUUAAUAUUCCUGUACUUGGUGUUACUGCGAAGGGGGGACGGAGAAGGCUAUGUUAGCCGGGCGACGGUUGUCCCGGUUUAAGCAUGUAGGCUGGUUGUCCAGGCAAAUCCGGAUAAUCAAGGCUGAGGUGUGAUGACGAGGUACUACGGUGCUGAAGUAACAAAUGCCCUGCUUCCAGGAAAAGCCUCUAAGCAUCAGGUAACAUCAAAUCGUACCCCAAACCGACACAGGUGGUCAGGUAGAGAAUACCAAGGCGCUUGAGAGAACUCGGGUGAAGGAACUAGGCAAAAUGGUGCCGUAACUUCGGGAGAAGGCACGCUGGUGUGUAGGUGAAGUCCCUGCGGAUGGAGCUGAGACCAGUCGAAGAUACCAGCUGGCUGCAACUGUUUAUUAAAAACACAGCACUGUGCAAACACGAAAGUGGACGUAUACGGUGUGACGCCUGCCCGGUGCCGGAAGGUUAAUUGAUGGGGUUAUCCGUAAGGAGAAGCUCUUGAUCGAAGCCCCGGUAAACGGCGGCCGUAACUAUAACGGUCCUAAGGUAGCGAAAUUCCUUGUCGGGUAAGUUCCGACCUGCACGAAUGGCGUAAUGAUGGCCAGGCUGUCUCCACCCGAGACUCAGUGAAAUUGAACUCGCUGUGAAGAUGCAGUGUACCCGCGGCAAGACGGAAAGACCCCGUGAACCUUUACUAUAGCUUGACACUGAACAUUGAGCCUUGAUGUGUAGGAUAGGUGGGAGGCUUUGAAGCGUGGACGCCAGUCUGCGUGGAGCCAACCUUGAAAUACCACCCUUUAAUGUUUGAUGUUCUAACGUUGGCCCCUUACCGGGGUUGCGGACAGUGUCUGGUGGGUAGUUUGACUGGGGCGGUCUCCUCCUAAAGCGUAACGGAGGAGCACGAAGGUUAGCUAAUCCUGGUCGGACAUCAGGAGGUUAGUGCAAUGGCAUAAGCUAGCUUGACUGCGAGCGUGACGGCGCGAGCAGGUGCGAAAGCAGGUCAUAGUGAUCCGGUGGUUCUGAAUGGAAGGGCCAUCGCUCAACGGAUAAAAGGUACUCCGGGGAUAACAGGCUGAUACCGCCCAAGAGUUCAUAUCGACGGCGGUGUUUGGCACCUCGAUGUCGGCUCAUCACAUCCUGGGGCUGAAGUAGGUCCCAAGGGUAUGGCUGUUCGCCAUUUAAAGUGGUACGCGAGCUGGGUUUAGAACGUCGUGAGACAGUUCGGUCCCUAUCUGCCGUGGGCGCUGGAGAAUUGAGGGGGGCUGCUCCUAGUACGAGAGGACCGGAGUGGACGCAUCACUGGUGUUCGGGUUGUCAUGCCAAUGGCACUGCCCGGUAGCUAAAUGCGGAAGAGAUAAGUGCUGAAAGCAUCUAAGCACGAAACUUGCCCCGAGAUGAGUUCUCCCUGAGACUUUAAGUCUCCUGAAGGAACGUUGAAGACGACGACGUUGAUAGGCCGGGUGUGUAAGCGCAGCGAUGCGUUGAGCUAACCGGUACUAAUGAACCGUGAGGCUUAACCUU